This 26-nucleotide non-coding RNA is filed under the name Rattus norvegicus (Norway rat). Lineage: Eukaryota; Metazoa; Chordata; Mammalia; Rodentia; Muridae. The record is from RNAcentral.
ACCUCAGCCUGAGCGCACACGCAGCA